AACGAACGCUGGCGGCAUGCCUAACACAUGCAAGUCGAACGAGACCUUCGGGUCUGGUUGCGCACGGGGGCGUAACGCGGGGGAACCUGCCCGUAGGUUCGGAAUAACUCCCCGAAAGGGGGGCUAAUGCCGGAUAAUGUCUUCGGACCAAAGAUAUAUCGCCUUUGGAUGGGCCCGCGUUGGAUUCGCUAGGUGGUAGGGUAAAAGCCUACCAAGGCGACGAUCCAUAGCUGGUCUGAGAGGCUGAUCCGCCACACUGGGACUGAGACACGGCCCAGACUCCUACGCGAGGCGGCAGUGGGGGAUAUUGGAAUACCGGCGGAAGCCUGAUCCAGCUCUGCCGGGUGAGUGCUGAAGGCCUUAGGGUUGUACAGCUCUUUUACCCGGGAUGAUACUGACAGUACCGGGAGAAUAAGCACCGGCUAACUCCGUG
Molecule: ribosomal RNA, 433 nt
Filed under: uncultured bacterium
Lineage: Bacteria
Description: partial 16S ribosomal RNA
Rfam family: Bacterial small subunit ribosomal RNA
Source: RNAcentral